This 494-nucleotide ribosomal RNA is filed under the name uncultured bacterium. Its description in RNAcentral is "bacterial SSU rRNA". It matches the Rfam family "Bacterial small subunit ribosomal RNA", at positions 903 to 1397 of the family's 1533-position model. The record is from RNAcentral.
AAAUGAAUAGACGGGGGCCCGCACAAGUGGUGGAGUAUGUGGUUUAAUUCGAUGCUACGCGAAAAACCUUACCUGGGCUUGACAUCCCGUGCUAACCUAUGAAAGUAGGCGUUCCCUUCGGGGACGCGGUGACAGGUGCUGCAUGGCUGUCGUCAGCUCGUGUUGUGAGAUGUUGGGUUAAGUCCCGCAACGAGCGCAACCCUCAUUAUUAGUUACCAUCAUUAAGUUGGGCACUCUAAUAAUACCGCUUGGCUAUAAGCCAGAGGAAGGUGGGGAUGACGUCAAGUCCUCAUGGCCUUUAUGCCCAGGGCUACACACGUACUACAAUGGAUGAUACAAAGCGUUGCAAGCUCGCAAGUUCAAGCAAAUCGCAAAAAAUCAUCCUCAGUUCGGAUUGGAGUCUGCAACUCGACUCCAUGAAGCUGGAAUCACUAGUAAUCGUUGAUCAGCAUGCAACGGUGAAUGCGUUCCCGGGCCUUGUACACACCGCCCGU